AUCUUCCGCAAUGGACGAAAGUCUGACGGAGCAACGCCGCGUGAGCGAAGAAGGUCUUCGGAUCGUAAAGCUCUGUUGUUAGGGAAGAACAAGUAUCGGAGGAAAUGCCGGUACCUUGACGGUACCUGACGAGAAAGCCACGGCUAACUACGUGCCAGCAGCCGCGGUAAUACGUAGGUGGCAAGCGUUGUCCGGAAUUAUUGGGCGUAAAGCGCGCGCAGGCGGUCCUUUAAGUCUGAUGUGAAAUCUUGCGGCUCAACCGCAAGCGGUCAUUGGAAACUGGGGGACUUGAGUGCAGAAGAGGAAAGCGGAAUUCCACGUGUAGCGGUGAAAUGCGUAGAGAUGUGGAGGAACACCAGUGGCGAAGGCGGCUUUCUGGUCUGUAACUGACGCUGAGGCGCGAAAGCGUGGGGAGCAAACAGG
This 423-nucleotide ribosomal RNA is filed under the name uncultured bacterium. RNAcentral describes it as "bacterial SSU rRNA". It matches the Rfam family "Bacterial small subunit ribosomal RNA", at positions 361 to 776 of the family's 1533-position model. The record is from RNAcentral.